This 164-nucleotide ribosomal RNA is filed under the name uncultured bacterium. RNAcentral's name for it is "partial 16S rRNA". It matches the Rfam family "Bacterial small subunit ribosomal RNA", at positions 355 to 511 of the family's 1533-position model. The record is from RNAcentral.
UAGGGAAUCUUCCACAAUGGGCGCAAGCCUGAUGGAGCAACACCGCGUGAGUGAAGAAGGGUUUCGGCUCGUAAAGCUCUGUUGUUAAAGAAGAACACGUAUGAGAGCAACUGUUCAUACGUUGACGGUAUUUAACCAGAAAGUCACGGCUAACUACGUGCUAG